GCGGACGGGUGAGUAAUGCCUAGGAAUCUGCCUGGUAGUGGGGGAUAACGUCCGGAAACGGACGCUAAUACCGCAUACGUCCUACGGGAGAAAGCAGGGGACCUCCGGGCCUUGCGCUAUCAGAUGAGCCUAGGUCGGAUUAGCUAGUUGGUGGGGUAAUGGCUCACCAAGGCGACGAUCCGUAACUGGUCUGAGAGGAUGAUCAGUCACACUGGAACUGAGACACGGUCCACACUCCUACGGGAGGCAGCAGUGGGGAAUAUUGGACAAUGGGCGAAAGCCUGAUCCAGCCAUGCCGCGUGUGUGAAGAAGGUCUUCGGAUUGUAAAGCACUUUAAGUUGGGAGGAAGGGCAGUAAAUUAAUACUUUGCUGUUUUGACGUUACCGACAGAAUAAGCACCGGCUAACUCUGUGCCAGCAGCCGCGGUAAUACAGAGGGUGCAAGCGUUAAUCGGAAUUACUGGGGCGUAAAGCGCGCGUAGGUGGUUCGUUGAGUUGAGAUGUGAAAAUCCCCGGGGCUCAACCUGGGAAGCUGCAUUCAAAACUGGACAAGUCUAAAAUAUGGGUAGAGGGUGGGU
Molecule: ribosomal RNA, 577 nt
Filed under: uncultured bacterium
Lineage: Bacteria
Description: bacterial SSU rRNA
Rfam family: Bacterial small subunit ribosomal RNA
Source: RNAcentral